AAAAGUUCGUUCAGGUUUCUCCGCAAGAUGGUAUAGAAAAACCUGAACAAACUUUUUUGACA
Molecule: microRNA precursor, 62 nt
Organism: Bos indicus x Bos taurus (hybrid cattle)
Lineage: Eukaryota; Metazoa; Chordata; Mammalia; Artiodactyla; Bovidae
Source: Ensembl